Long non-coding RNA from Populus euphratica (Euphrates poplar), 757 nucleotides. RefSeq lists it as uncharacterized. The transcript is spliced from 4 exons. The record is from RefSeq and is a predicted model, not a curated record. NCBI's taxonomy places the organism in Eukaryota, Viridiplantae, Streptophyta, Magnoliopsida, Malpighiales, Salicaceae.
CUGUCAUCUUUUCAGCGCAUUAUUCGGUUAACCGUUUUUUCAUUUGGUAAUAUUUCCUUGACUUACGGCAAUGAACACUUCCACCUACAGGCUUCCAUCAGCUACUAGAAACCCUAACAAUUAGCAUAACCUUCCUGCCUCUCACAAAAAGCCGCCGCCUUGCGUUUCCCUUUCAAUUUUCAACUGCACUGCCAUCUGCGUUUCAGCGUUUGUCUCCAUCUAAAUUCUAGCCAAGCACCAACCCACCUCUCCAUCUCCCUUGCUUUUCUUCUCUCUUUACUUCUGCACAAGCCUCCUCUAUUCUAGCAAGUUGCAGCAGAAGGAGAGGGCUCCUUUAUUAGAGAAAAGACAGAUGGAUAAUGGGGAAGAUCCUACAUCAAAUGAGUCAACUGAUUGUUUGUAAGUAGUAUUGGUGGCUUGGUGCAAUCUUGGAGUAUAAUUGUUUUGGAACAAUAACAACCAACAGAGAGUUAUAAUCACAGAUUUUGAAUGAUUCCCUUGUUUUUCCAUGCUUUUUAAGCUCGUCUUGGAAUUGGAACAAAUAAUUGAAAAAAGUAUUCAUUUGACAGCCAUCCUUUAGAUCACCACUAAUUUGUUUUGGGUCCAUAGUUGAUUGCCUGUAGGCACGAUACAACACUGGAAGAGCUGUUACAACUUACAAGUAAAUCAAACUCAUUUCAUUUAAACAUAAAGAAAAAAAAGGAAGAUGAUUGAAAUCUCUGUUAAUAUUGGAGUGAUUAUGGAUUUACUAUUGGUA